Molecule: long non-coding RNA, 1155 nt
Organism: Microplitis mediator
Lineage: Eukaryota; Metazoa; Arthropoda; Insecta; Hymenoptera; Braconidae
Exons: 3
Source: RefSeq, a predicted model, not a curated record
GGCUAUUUCAAAUGUCAACAUGAUAAAUCUUUAUGGAAUUUAUUUUUAUUCUGUAAUUUAAGGUAGUAAAUAACCCAGUCUCCUAAUGGAUAAAAUUGAAUAAAUUGUAAAAGAAACAAAACCUAAAAGGGUAAGAGAGUUCUUUGGCGCCACGUCCAGCUCGCAAUAUUGCCUGGCGUCUGCUAUAUAAUCCAGAUUCCCGCGGUUGCGCCUCGAGUGUAUGAUGCUUCGGCGACUGGCGCCGGUUUCCUUCCUUUCGUACCAUACUAUUCUAUACAUACACGCGUACCCUAUGUGUACUCACGAUCACUAUUUUAUACCCGCAUACGUAUGCGUACUUACACAAGAAGUAGACAAUCCAGUAGAAGAGAUAUUCGUAUCACGAGAGUCAGCGCAAUCAGCUUGUCAGUCUGUCAGUGAACGUAUUUGUGCAUACUUCCUUAAUAACUUUGUCGUUUUCAUAAAUUUUACGACUGUGAAUUCAUUUAAAUUAAUAACACAUGCAUACAUAACGAUUAUAAAAACAGGAAGUAAAUAACACAUUAAAAAAUUCGAUAAAACUAAACAAGCCCGCCUACAAGCUGUACCAUCUCUUUAAAAUUAUUUUUUUUUUUUUUAAACUUGUUUUCACUCUUUCCUUUCUCGUUGGUAAGUUAUAAUUGUCACUACACUAACAGAACUUUUAAUUGAGCAUUCAUUUUUAAAUUUAAAAUCAACUUUGUCUAUAUAAAAUAAAUUAAAAUUUAUGAAGCCUACUGGUUUUUUCUUGAAAACUUACUUUUGGUCUCUUGAAAGUAGUAUGUAAGUAGAACGCACUUUAGAUCCACGCAUCGACGAAAUUAAUUUAGCACAGAAUAUACGCAAUGUUAAACUAACGUGUAAGCUGUACUACAAUAAUAUUUAUUAAUUGAAUGUUUUAUUAAAUUUAUAAUGAUCAUACUUUAGUCGUAAAAAUAAUGAGUGAUUGAACAUUAAAAACUUAUAAUUCAGAGGCAUGAAAAGUCUCUGAUUUGACAUCAAAGUGGCGGAACCCGCAUUGUCAGUAAACAAUGGCUCUGUGGAGUCAUUAGACUUUUACAAUGAUCACAUUAAUCGGCAACAGCAGCUUCAGAUUAUCUGCCACCAUCGUCCUAAAUCGCGUGAUACCACGCGAAU